GACGAACGCUGGCGGCGUGCUUAACACAUGCAAGUCGAACGGAAAGGCCCUGCUUUUGUGGGGUGCUCGAGUGGCGAACGGGUGAGUAACACGUGAGUAACCUGCCCUUGACUUUGGGAUAACUUCAGGAAACUGGGGCUAAUACCGUAUAGGAGCUCCUGCUGCAUGGUGGGGGUUGGAAAGUUUCGGCGGUUGGGGAUGGACUCGCAGCUUAUCAGCUUGUUGGUGGGGUAGUGGCUUACCAAGGCUUUGACGGGUAGCCGGCCUGAGAGGGUGACCGGCCACAUUGGGACUGAGAUACGGCCCAGACUCCUACGGGAGGCAGCAGUGGGGAAUAUUGCACAAUGGGCGGAAGCCUGAUGCAGCAACGCCGCGUGCGGGAUGACGGCCUUCGGGUUGUAAACCGCUUUCGCCUGUGACGAAGCGUGAGUGACGGUAAUGGGUAAAGAAGCACCGGCUAACUACGUG
Molecule: ribosomal RNA, 468 nt
Filed under: uncultured bacterium
Lineage: Bacteria
Description: partial 16S ribosomal RNA
Rfam family: Bacterial small subunit ribosomal RNA
Source: RNAcentral